CAAUAAGCGGAGGAAAAGAAACCAACAGGGAUUACCUCAGUAACGGCGAGUGAAGCGGUAAAAGCUCAAAUUUGAAAUCUGGCUCUUUUAGAGUCCGAGUUGUAAUUUGUAGAAGAUGCUUCGGGUGUGGUUCCGGUCUAAGUUCCUUGGAACAGGACGUCAUAGAGGGUGAGAAUCCCGUAUGUGACUGGAUACCUAUGCUCAUGUGAAGCUCUUUCGACGAGUCGAGUUGUUUGGGAAUGCAGCUCAAAAUGGGUGGUAUAUUUCAUCUAAAGCUAAAUAUUGGCCAGAGACCGAUAGCGCACAAGUAGAGUGAUCGAAAGAUGAAAAGCACUUUGGAAAGAGAGUUAAACAGUACGUGAAAUUGUUGAAAGGGAAGCGCUUGCAAUCAGACUUGCACUUGGUGUUCAUCGGGGUUUCUACCCCGUGUACUUCAUCAAGUUCAGGCCAGCAUCAGUUUGGGUGGUUAGAUAAAGGCUUAGAGAAUGUGGCCCUCUUCGGGGGGUGUUAUAGCUCUAGGUGCAAUGUAGCCUACCUGGACUGAGGACCGCGCUUCGGCUAGGAUGCUGGCGUAAUGGUUGUAAGCGACCCGUCUUGAAACACGGACCAAGGAGUGUACCUAAUAUGCGAGUGUUUGGGUGUUAAACCCAUACGCGUAAUGAAAGUGAACGGAGGUGAGAGCCCUUAAGGGUGCAUCAUCGACCGAUCCUGAUGUCUUCGGAUGGAUUUGAGUAAGAGCAUAUUGGGUGCGACCCGAAAGAUGGUGAUCUAUACGUGAAUAGGGUGAAGCCAGAGGAAACUCUGGUGGAGGCUCGCAGCGGUUCUGACGUGCAAAUCGAUCGUCAAAUUUGCGUAUAGGGGCGA
This 864-nucleotide ribosomal RNA is filed under the name Monilinia fructicola. Its description in RNAcentral is "partial large subunit ribosomal RNA". It matches the Rfam family "Eukaryotic large subunit ribosomal RNA", at positions 44 to 926 of the family's 3401-position model. The record is from RNAcentral. Lineage: Eukaryota; Fungi; Ascomycota; Leotiomycetes; Helotiales; Sclerotiniaceae.